This is a long non-coding RNA of Oncorhynchus keta (chum salmon), 592 nucleotides long. RefSeq lists it as uncharacterized. The record is from RefSeq and is a predicted model, not a curated record. The transcript is spliced from 4 exons. NCBI's taxonomy places the organism in Eukaryota, Metazoa, Chordata, Actinopteri, Salmoniformes, Salmonidae.
UGCGUAAUGAUGGUGACAGGUGCGCGUAAUGAUGGUGACAGGUGUGUGUAAUGAUGGUGACAGGUGUGCGUAACGAUGGUGACAGGUGUGUGUAAUGAUGGUGACAGGUGUGCGUAAUGAUGGUGACAGGUGUGUGUAAUGAUGGUGACAGGUGUGUGUAAUGAUGGUGACAGGUGUGUGUAAUGAUGGUGACAGGUGUGUGUAAUGAUGGUGACAGGUGUGUGUAAUGAUGGUGACAGGUGUGUGUAAUGAUGGUGACAGGUGUGUGUAAUGAUGGUGACAGGUGUGUGUAAUGAUGGUGACAGGUGUGUGUAAUGAUGGUGACAGGUGUGUGUAAUGAUGGUGACAGGUGUGCAUAACGAUGGUGACAGGUGUGUGUAAUGAUGGUGACAGGUGUGUGUAAUGAUGGUGACAGGUGUGUGUAAUGAUGGUGACAGGUGUGUGUAAUGAUGGUGACAGGUGUGCGUAAUGAUGGUGACAGGUGUGUGUAAUGAUGGUGACAGGUGUGUGUAAUGAUGGUGACAGGUGUGUGUAAUGAUGGUGACAGGUGUGUGUAAUGAUGGUGACAGGUGUGCGUAACGAUGGUGACAGG